RNAcentral lists this ribosomal RNA (495 nucleotides) under uncultured bacterium. Its description in RNAcentral is "partial 16S ribosomal RNA". It matches the Rfam family "Bacterial small subunit ribosomal RNA", at positions 28 to 507 of the family's 1533-position model. The record is from RNAcentral.
GACGAACGCUGGCGGCGUGCCUAAUACAUGCAAGUAGAACGCUGAAGGAGGAGCUUGCUUCUCUGGAUGAGUUGCGAACGGGUGAGUAACGCGUAGGUAACCUGCCUGUUAGCGGAGGAUAACUAUUGGAAACGAUAGCUAAUACCGCAUAACAGUAGAUGUUGCAUGACAUUUGCUUAAUAUGUGCAAUUGCAUCACUACCAGAUGUACCUGCGUUGUAUUAGGUAGUUGGUGCGGUAACGGCUCACCAAGGCGACGAUACAGAGCCGACAGGAGAGGGUGGGUGGCCGGCCUGGGAGUGAGACAGGGCACAGACUGCCUGAGGAGGGGGCAGUAGUGCAUCUUGAGGAAUGGGUGGAAAUCUGAGCGAGAAAGGCCGAGUGCGGGCAGAGGGUCGUCGGGUCGUAAAGCUCGGCUGUCAGGGAAGAACGAGUGUGAGGGUGGAACGUUGAGAAAGUGACGGUACCUGAAGAGGAAGCAACGGCUAACUACGUG